Long non-coding RNA from Manduca sexta (tobacco hornworm), 540 nucleotides. RefSeq lists it as uncharacterized. Lineage: Eukaryota; Metazoa; Arthropoda; Insecta; Lepidoptera; Sphingidae. The transcript has 2 exons. The record is from RefSeq and is a predicted model, not a curated record.
UUACAAAUUUUUUUCGAGCUUGUAAUUUUUUGAAUUCCAUAAAAUUUUCAAGUGUAGGAUUGUAUUUGAACCUUAUAUAAGCAUCUUUACUAUUUUUGACGGCCAACGCACAACUCUCAUUCCACCAAGAUUCACUAAAGGCAGGAGGAAAACUAUUGUUCAACAGAAGUUUAGUCAUUGUUGGCAAAUGAUAGCUGCCUAAAGGAUCAUCAUGAACCCACCAUUCAGAAUUAAGUGCCAAUGAAGGACUAAUAAAUGAAAGAUCCAGUGCAUUAGGUCGCCAAGUGUUAGUGCCAAUCGUAGUAACAUGUCCAUCAUUUAAUAACACUAAAUCACAAUCAUCGAGGGAAUCGAGAAUGUCUCUGCCUCGUGCAUCAGUUGAAGAACAACCCCACAAGACAUGAUGUGCAUUAAAAUCCCCUGAUAUAAAGGCCGGUUUCGGAAUACUGUUAAUUAAGUUGAUAAAUUUAGAUUUCGUAAAUGUAGGGGUGCAAUUAGUAGGACAAUAAAAGCUAGCGAUUGAAAGCGGCUUAUUAUUUA